GUGCCAGCAGCCGCGGUAAUACGGAGGGUGCAAGCGUUAUCCGGAAUCACUGGGUUUAAAGGGUGCGUAGGCGGUCAGAUAAGUCAGUUGUGAAAUACCCCGGCUUAACCGGCGGAACGGCGAUUGAUACUGUUUGACUUGAAUCAGGUUGAGGUAGGCGGAAUGUGGCAUGUAGCGGUGAAAUGCUUAGAUAUGCCAUAGAACACCGAUUGCGAAGGCAGCUUGCUGGACCUGUAUUGACGCUGAGGCACGAAAGCGUGGGGAGCAAACAGGAUUAGAUACCCCCGUAGUCC
RNAcentral lists this ribosomal RNA (293 nucleotides) under uncultured bacterium. RNAcentral describes it as "partial 16S ribosomal RNA". It matches the Rfam family "Bacterial small subunit ribosomal RNA", at positions 505 to 796 of the family's 1533-position model. The record is from RNAcentral.